Molecule: microRNA precursor, 105 nt
Filed under: Marmota monax (woodchuck)
Lineage: Eukaryota; Metazoa; Chordata; Mammalia; Rodentia; Sciuridae
Source: RNAcentral
AUUAGUAUCUCCUGGGGAGCUUGUCUAAAUGCAGAUUUUAAUUCCCUAGGUGGGGGAUGAGAUCCGAAAUUCUGCAUUUCUAAUGGGUGCUCAGGUGUUGCUGAU